Long non-coding RNA from Nothoprocta perdicaria, 355 nucleotides. RefSeq lists it as uncharacterized. The record is from RefSeq and is a predicted model, not a curated record. Lineage: Eukaryota; Metazoa; Chordata; Aves; Tinamiformes; Tinamidae. The transcript has 3 exons.
UCAGGCUGUGGGGAGGAGAUACUUGCAUGAGGCUUGCUUGAAACAAGCUCCAUCUCUCUGAUGAAGAGCCUGGCCUGCUGGCGGGGACGCUUGGACGUACUAUUAUAGUCCUAGUGCAUUCCCAGUGACUGGAAAUGAAGGAGAAUGGAUAGCCCUGUUUUUUCCCCCGACGUGCUGCUGAGUUUCUGCCCGUGCGGCAGCGCCGUUGUGCCGUCGCUGCCCGUCCCGCGGGCUCGCCRGGAAGAGCGCGCCGUGCGGGAGAGCCCUGAGCGCACGGGCUGAAAGCAGGCAGCCCAUAACUAACUUUAGAGAAAAAGCAUGACCUCAGUAUAUUACACGUGUUGGUGAUGUACGC